This 497-nucleotide ribosomal RNA is filed under the name uncultured bacterium. Its description in RNAcentral is "partial 16S ribosomal RNA". It matches the Rfam family "Bacterial small subunit ribosomal RNA", at positions 28 to 507 of the family's 1533-position model. The record is from RNAcentral.
GAUGAACGCUGGCGGCGUGCCUAAUACAUGCAAGUCGAGCGAACGGACGAGAAGCUUGCUUCUCUGAUGUUAGCGGCGGACGGGUGAGUAACACGUGGAUAACCUACCUAUAAGACUGGGAUAACUUCGGGAAACCGUAGCUAAUACCGGAUAAUAUUUUGAACCGCAUGGUUCAAAAGUGAAAGACGGUCUUGCUGUCACUUAUAGAUGGAUCCGCGUUGCAUUAGCUAGUUGGUAAGGUAACGGCUUACCAAGGCAACGAUGCAUAGCCGACCUGAGAGGGUGAUCGGCCACACUGGAACUGAGACACGGUCCAGAAUCCUAAGGGAGGCAGCAGUAGGGAAUCUUCCGCAAUGGGCGAAAGCCUGACGGAGCAAAGCCGCGUGAGUGAUGAAGGUCUUCGGAUCGUAAAACUCUGUUAAUAGGGAAGAACAUAUGUGUAAGUAACUGUGCACAUCUUGACGGUACCUAAUCAGAAAGCCACGGCUAACUACGUG